This 367-nucleotide ribosomal RNA is filed under the name uncultured bacterium. RNAcentral describes it as "bacterial SSU rRNA". It matches the Rfam family "Bacterial small subunit ribosomal RNA", at positions 527 to 896 of the family's 1533-position model. The record is from RNAcentral.
GGAGGGUGCAAGCGUUAUCCGGAUUCACUGGGUUUAAAGGGUGCGUAGGUGGGUUGGUAAGUCAGUGGUGAAAUCUCCAAGCUUAACUUGGAAACUGCCAUUGAUACUAUCAGUCUUGAAUAUUGUGGAGGUUAGCGGAAUAUGUCAUGUAGCGGUGAAAUGCUUAGAUAUGACAUAGAACACCAAUUGCGAAGGCAGCUGGCUACACAUAUAUUGACACUGAGGCACGAAAGCGUGGGGAUCAAACAGGAUUAGAUACCCUGGUAGUCCACGCCCUAAACUAUGGAUACUCGACAUACGCGAUACACUGUGUGUGUCUGAGCGAAAGCAUUAAGUAUCCCACCUGGGAAGUACGAUCGCGAGAUUG